UACGAAGGGGGCUAGCGUUGCUCGGAAUCACUGGGCGUAAAGCGCACGUAGGCGGAUUGUUAAGGUCAGGGUGAAAUCCUGGAGCUCAACUCCAGAACUGCCUUUGAUACUGGCGAUCUUGAGUCCGGGAGAGGUGAGUGGAACUGCGAGUGUAGAGGUGAAAUUCGUAGAUAUUCGCAAGAACACCAGUGGCGAAGGCGGCCAUCUGGGCUGUACCUGACGCUGAGACGCGAAGGCGUGGGGAGCGAACGGG
Molecule: ribosomal RNA, 253 nt
Filed under: uncultured bacterium
Lineage: Bacteria
Description: partial 16S ribosomal RNA
Rfam family: Bacterial small subunit ribosomal RNA
Source: RNAcentral